UCCACUUACCUGGUCAAUUUGGUAAAUUAUAUCUUGAAUCAGAUUAUUUGGUAGUUCGAUUUAGCCCAUACUAAUAGGACUAGUCAUGGUGAUAACUAAUUAGAUGAGACUUAAAUUAAAACCUCUUUGUAUAUAUAUUAAGUCUAGCAGUCUUCCACCAUUGUAGAUGUGUAGGCAUGUAACUGGUGUUGAUUGUUCUC
Molecule: long non-coding RNA, 200 nt
Filed under: Elaeis guineensis (African oil palm)
Lineage: Eukaryota; Viridiplantae; Streptophyta; Magnoliopsida; Arecales; Arecaceae
Description: long non-coding RNA (EGUI_LNC080780)
Source: RNAcentral